UACAGAGGUCCCAAGCGUUGUUCGGAUUCACUGGGCGUAAAGGGUGCGUAGGCGGUUGGAUAAGCCUGACGUGAAAUCUCCGAGCCUAACUCGGAAACUGCGUCGGAAACUAUCUGACUAGAGGAAUGGAGGGGAGACUGGAAUUCUCGGUGUAGCAGUGAAAUGCGUAGAUAUCGAGAGGAACACCAGUGGCGAAGGCGAGUCUCUGGACAUUUCCUGACGCUGAGGCACGAAAGCCAGGGGAGCAAACGGG
Molecule: ribosomal RNA, 253 nt
Filed under: uncultured bacterium
Lineage: Bacteria
Description: partial 16S ribosomal RNA
Rfam family: Bacterial small subunit ribosomal RNA
Source: RNAcentral